Molecule: unclassified non-coding RNA, 358 nt
Filed under: Hevea brasiliensis (rubber tree)
Lineage: Eukaryota; Viridiplantae; Streptophyta; Magnoliopsida; Malpighiales; Euphorbiaceae
Source: RNAcentral
CUGGUAUGUAAGGUUUUUAAUAUGCUGAGAGCUGGCUUGAAAGCGUUGUUAGUUCCAUCUGGACAACUCAGCCCCGCAUGCUUUUAAUUUUCGAACUGUAAAGAACAUCUGAGACCCUGUUAAUCCAGCCCUUCCCUAAGAUUUGGCCACGCACCCGAUUAUCUAGCCACAUAGCUUCGAACUUGAAUAAACGUUUUGCCCAUUUGGUGGAAAUAUCUGGAAGCAGAACCAUGGGACGAUGAUCAGACCCAACUUGGAGCUCGAACGUACUGCCUUUGAAAACAUUUCACCACAAUCAACAUCAGCUAAGGCUCGUUCAAGCUUCUCUACUACAGCUGAUUGACCAGCUUGCCUGUUG